This 498-nucleotide ribosomal RNA is filed under the name Arthrobacter echini. Its description in RNAcentral is "bacterial SSU rRNA". Lineage: Bacteria; Bacillati; Actinomycetota; Actinomycetes; Micrococcales; Micrococcaceae. The record is from RNAcentral.
AGCCUGAUGCAGCGACGCCGCGUGAGGGAUGAAGGCCUUCGGGUUGUAAACCUCUUUCAGUAGGGAAGAAGCCGGCCCUUUGGGUUGGUGACGGUACYUGCAGAAGAAGCGCCGGCUAACUACGUGCCAGCAGCCGCGGUAAUACGUAGGGCGCAAGCGUUAUCCGGAAUUAUUGGGCGUAAAGAGCUCGUAGGCGGUUUGUCGCGUCUGYCGUGAAAGUCCGGGGCUUAACYCCGGAUCUGCGGUGGGUACGGGCAGACUAGAGUGCAGUAGGGGAGACUGGAAUUCCUGGUGUAGCGGUGAAAUGCGCAGAUAUCAGGAGGAACACCGAUGGCGAAGGCAGGUCUCUGGGCUGUAACUGACGCUGAGGAGCGAAAGCAUGGGGAGCGAACAGGAUUAGAUACCCUGGUAGUCCAUGCCGUAAACGUUGGGCACUAGGUGUGGGGGACAUUCCACGUUUUCCGCGCCGUAGCUAACGCAUUAAGUGCCCCGCCUGGG